UCAGCUUUCUUGUUGGAAUUUUGUCAAAGCUUCUUGGGGUUUUGUUUUUGGUUCAAGAGGAUGUCAUAGUCUGCUCUGUCUUUUGAAUAUUAUCAUUACAUGUAAGAUGCCUGUGUUCCUUCUCUGUGUAGUCAGACAGUGGCAAUUUGCUAUGUUUGGCAGAAAGAUCGUGAGUGGAAUAUCUAUGCGUGCUCGUGAGGGGUUUGGGAGAUCGGUUCCUUGUCCAGCAUAGCUGCUUGAAGCAAAUUCCUGUGAUCCAGCCUUGAAAAUCUGAUUGAAUCUAUUGAAUUUGUUAACAACAGUGGAUGAGUCUUCUAUUCUGUAUGAUGGCAUGAUCAUGGUUGCGUAAACUUGUGCGUGGCUACUGUUCUGCUGGUAGCUUCAUAGCGCCACCUAACUGAAACAGGUUUCUCAUGCUCGCUGGGCUAUUGAUGUCUGUUGUAUAUGGUAUGGUCGAUGAUGACUGUGAUGAUAUUUUCUCGUCAGCUAUUGAUGUCUGUUGUAUAUGGUAUGGGCUAUUGAUGUCUCUGUUGUAUAUUGAAGCUUCUCUUGGAAUGAACAAGGCCAUGACUGCUCACCUUGAAGCUCUUGGAUACGCAGCUGAGAUGCUGUUCCCUCUAUUUGAUGGGUAUGCAUCAUGG
This 641-nucleotide long non-coding RNA is filed under the name Populus trichocarpa (black cottonwood). RNAcentral's name for it is "long non-coding RNA (PTRI_LNC004174)". Lineage: Eukaryota; Viridiplantae; Streptophyta; Magnoliopsida; Malpighiales; Salicaceae. The record is from RNAcentral.